GUGGGGAAUCUUCCGCAAUGGACGAAAGUCUGACGGAGCGACGCCGCGUGAGUGAAGAAGGCCUUCGGGUCGUAAAGCUCUGUCAUCAGGGACGAACGGCCGGUGGAGUGGAAAGCCACCGGAUUGACGGUACCUGAGAAGGAAGCCACGGCUAACUACGUGCCAGCAGCCGCGGUAAUACGUAGGUGGCAAGCGUUGUCCGGAAUUAUUGGGCGUAAAGCGCGCGCAGGUGGGAUCUUAAGUCCAUUUUUAAAGUUCGGAGCUCAACUCCGUGAAGGGAUGGAAACUGGGAUUCUUGAGUACCGGAGAGGGAAGCGGAAUUCCCCGUGUAGCGGUGAAAUGCGUAGAUAUGGGGAGGAACACCAGUGGCGAAGGCGGCUUUCUGGACGGUGUCUGACACUGAGGCGCGAAAGCCAGGGGAGCGAACGGGAUUAGAAACCCUAGUAGUCC
RNAcentral lists this ribosomal RNA (450 nucleotides) under uncultured bacterium. RNAcentral's name for it is "partial 16S ribosomal RNA". It matches the Rfam family "Bacterial small subunit ribosomal RNA", at positions 354 to 796 of the family's 1533-position model. The record is from RNAcentral.